GCGCUCGUAGCUCAGCUGGAUAGAGCACCAGACUACGAAUCUGGGGGUCAGGAGUUCGAAUCUCUUCGAGCGCGCCA
RNAcentral lists this transfer RNA (77 nucleotides) under Acinetobacter baumannii. Its description in RNAcentral is "tRNA-Arg". It matches the Rfam family "tRNA". Rfam says of the family: Transfer RNA (tRNA) molecules are approximately 80 nucleotides in length. Their secondary structure includes four short double-helical elements and three loops (D, anti-codon, and T loops). Further hydrogen bonds mediate the characteristic L-shaped molecular structure. tRNAs have two regions of fundamental functional importance: the anti-codon, which is responsible for specific mRNA codon recognition, and the 3' end, to which the tRNAs corresponding amino acid is attached (by aminoacyl-tRNA synthetases). tRNAs cope with the degeneracy of the genetic code in two manners: having more than one tRNA (with a specific anti-codon) for a particular amino acid; and 'wobble' base-pairing, i.e. permitting non-standard base-pairing at the 3rd anti-codon position. RNAcentral also lists the same sequence under 29 other names. Lineage: Bacteria; Pseudomonadati; Pseudomonadota; Gammaproteobacteria; Moraxellales; Moraxellaceae. The record is from RNAcentral.